This 404-nucleotide ribosomal RNA is filed under the name uncultured bacterium. RNAcentral's name for it is "bacterial SSU rRNA". It matches the Rfam family "Bacterial small subunit ribosomal RNA", at positions 355 to 776 of the family's 1533-position model. The record is from RNAcentral.
UGGGGAAUAUUGGACAAUGGGCGCAAGCCUGAUCCAGCAAUGCCGCGUGAAUGAUGAAGGCCUUAGGGUUGUAAAGUUCUUUUAGUGGGAAAGAAAUUGACGGUACCCACAGAAAAAGCUCCGGCUAACUCUGUGCCAGCAGCCGCGGUAAUACAGAGGGAGCUAGCGUUUUUCGGAAUUAUUGGGCGUAAAGAGCGCGUAGGCGGCUAAUUAAGUUGAAAGUGAAAUCCCAGAGCUUAACUCUGGAAUUGCUUUCAAAACUGAUUAGCUAGAGUUUGGUAGGGGAUGAUGGAAUUCUUGGUGUAGGGGUAAAAUUCUUAGAUAUCAGGAGGAACACCGGUGGCGAAGGCGAUCAUCUGGGCCAUAACUGACGCUGAUGUGCGAAAGCGUGGGGAGCAAACAGG